CAGUCGCCGCGGUAAUACGAAGGGGGCUAGCGUUGCUCGGAAUGACUGGGCGUAAAGGGCGCGUAGGCGGCGAUCAAAGUCAGGCGUGAAAUUCCUGGGCUCAACCUGGGGGCUGCGCUUGAUACUUGGUUGCUUGAGUGGGGAAGAGGGUCGUGGAAUUCCCAGUGUAGAGGUGAAAUUCGUAGAUAUUGGGAAGAACACCGGUGGCGAAGGCGGCGACCUGGUCCUUGACUGACGCUGAGGCGCGAAAGCGAGGGGAGCAAACAGGAUUAGAUACCCCCGUAGUCCCUGUCUCUUAUAC
Molecule: ribosomal RNA, 301 nt
Filed under: uncultured bacterium
Lineage: Bacteria
Description: partial 16S ribosomal RNA
Rfam family: Bacterial small subunit ribosomal RNA
Source: RNAcentral